Antechinus flavipes (yellow-footed antechinus) is the source of this 775-nucleotide long non-coding RNA. RefSeq lists it as uncharacterized. The record is from RefSeq and is a predicted model, not a curated record. Lineage: Eukaryota; Metazoa; Chordata; Mammalia; Dasyuromorphia; Dasyuridae. The transcript has 2 exons.
CUGGAGUCCAUCCCUCUGUGUGUCUAGGAGCCUUACCAAUGGACGUACUACCUCAUACACCUGCAGGAAAUGGAGAAAAGCAGAAGGAAAUGGCACAGCUUUGGUGGGAGUUACUAGGCCAACAGAUGAUAUACAUCCAUCAGGGAGCAUACUCCAUAUGGACAUAAUUACCAAGAGGAACAAAUCUUCAAGAAGAAAGACCUCUGGAGAGAGAAUAUUUGGACUAUGAAGACCAGACUCUGACAACCUAAAAAAAGACACUGAAUCCAUGGAAAGCUAUAAGAGGAUCCUUCAAAAAGAGGAAGGAAUUCCAGGCCCUUCAGUGCUAAGACCUCCUUUGGCUACAUGUGUAUUCUACACAUUGUAUUCUAAGUCUGAGUCCCUUCUUCCUAUGGAUGCUGUGUGUAUAUUUGUGAUAGUAUGACUCAAGUUUAUAAGAAAAAUGCUUUAUAACUAUUUCUUGCUGUUCCAUCUGAGUAAAUAUCUUUGUUAAGAGGUCAUCGUGUGGCAAUACAGCAAGAAUGUGCAAUGAUCAGUUAUGAAAGACCUGGUUUUUCUCAGUGGUUUGGUGAUCGAAAACAAUCCCAAAACAGAAAACACCAUCUGCGGCCAGAAAAAGAACUAAGGAGACUGAAUGUGAAUCAACAUAUGCUGUGUCCACUUCUUUUUUCUGGUUUUUUAUCUCUCCCAUGUUUUUUCCCUUUUGCUAUGAUUUUUCUCUCUCAAUAUGAUUCAUAAAGCAACAUGCAUUAAAAAUAAAUAAAUUUUAAAAGAA